UACGUAGGGUGCAAGCGUUAAUCGGAAUUACUGGGCGUAAAGCGUGCGCAGGCGGUUUGGUAAGACAGAUGUGAAAUCCCCGGGCUUAACCUGGGAACUGCAUUUGUGACUGGCGGGCUAGAGUAUGGCAGAGGGGGGUAGAAUUCCACGUGUAGCAGUGAAAUGCGUAGAGAUGUGGAGGAAUACCGAUGGCGAAGGCAGCCCCCUGGGCCAAUACUGACGCUCAUGCACGAAAGCGUGGGGAGCAAACAGG
This 253-nucleotide ribosomal RNA is filed under the name uncultured bacterium. RNAcentral describes it as "partial 16S ribosomal RNA". It matches the Rfam family "Bacterial small subunit ribosomal RNA", at positions 524 to 776 of the family's 1533-position model. The record is from RNAcentral.